This 167-nucleotide microRNA precursor is filed under the name Pelobates cultripes (western spadefoot toad). Lineage: Eukaryota; Metazoa; Chordata; Amphibia; Anura; Pelobatidae. The record is from RNAcentral.
GCAGACACAUUCCAGCCAAUCAGCAGCAGACCCUCCCUCCCAGACCCUCCCACCUCCUAGACAGCUCACUAAGAAUGCAGCUUCACAAUGAAUGUAAAAUGGAUGCUGUCCAGGAGGUGGGAGGGUCUGGGAGGGAGCGUCUGCUGCUGAUUGGCUGGAAUGUGUCU